Molecule: transfer RNA, 85 nt
Filed under: Felis catus (domestic cat)
Lineage: Eukaryota; Metazoa; Chordata; Mammalia; Carnivora; Felidae
Rfam family: tRNA
About the family: Transfer RNA (tRNA) molecules are approximately 80 nucleotides in length. Their secondary structure includes four short double-helical elements and three loops (D, anti-codon, and T loops).
Source: Rfam by way of RNAcentral
ACCUGGGUAUCUUAGUCGGUUAAGUAUCUGACUUCAGCUCAGAUCAUGAUCUCGCAGUGUGUGGGUUCCAGCCCCACGUCAGGCU